ACGGGAGGCAGCAGUGAGGAAUAUUGGUCAAUGGGCGGAAGCCUGAACCAGCCAAGUCGCGUGAAGGAUGAAGGUAUUAUGUAUUGUAAACUUCUUUAGACGCAGAGAAAUAAGCAGGUCGUGACCUGUGAUGCUAGUAUGCGUAGAAUAAGGAUCGGCUAACUCCGUGCCAGCAGCCGCGGUAAUACGGAGGAUCCGAGCGUUAUCCGGAUUUAUUGGGUUUAAAGGGAGCGUAGGCUGGAUGUUAAGUCAGCGGUCAAAAGGAGCGGCUCAACCGUUCUUCGCCGUUGAUACUGGUAUCCUUGAGUGCGCAAGAGGUGGAUGGAAUUUAGGGUGUAGCGGUGAAAUGCUUAGAUAUCCUAAAGAACUCCGAUUGCGAAGGCAGUCCACUGGGGCGCAACUGACGCUGAAGCUCGAAAGUGCGGGUAUCAAACAGGAUUAGAUACCCUGGUA
RNAcentral lists this ribosomal RNA (453 nucleotides) under uncultured Bacteroides sp. Its description in RNAcentral is "partial 16S ribosomal RNA". It matches the Rfam family "Bacterial small subunit ribosomal RNA", at positions 341 to 792 of the family's 1533-position model. The record is from RNAcentral. Lineage: Bacteria; Pseudomonadati; Bacteroidota; Bacteroidia; Bacteroidales; Bacteroidaceae.